Molecule: ribosomal RNA, 513 nt
Filed under: Coleonyx nemoralis
Lineage: Eukaryota; Metazoa; Chordata; Lepidosauria; Squamata; Eublepharidae
Description: Coleonyx elegans nemoralis partial large subunit ribosomal RNA
Rfam family: Bacterial large subunit ribosomal RNA
Source: RNAcentral
AGCCUUUAGCUCACCAAGUAUUAAAGGUCCUGCCUGCCCAGUGAAACUUUUAACGGCCGCGGUAUCCUAACCGUGCAAAGGUAGCGUAAUCACUUGUCUUCUAAAUAAAGACUCGUAUGAACGGCUAAAUGAGGACCUAACUGUCUCUUACGACCAAUUAAUGAAACUGAUCUUUCAGUCCAAAAGCUGAAAUAUAAACAUAAGACGAGAAGACCCUGUGGAGCUUUAACCAAGAUACUAUACCCACCACAUAUAUCUACACCUGUAAUAGUACCUCGUUUAAGUUGGGGCAACUAUGGAAAAAGAAAAACUUCCACAUUACCCUAGGGCAAACCCCCCUACCCCCCAGACCCACCUGUCAAACACUAAGCACAUCGACCCAGUCCCACUGAUCAAUGAACCAAGUUACCCCAGGGAUAACAGCGCAAUCCCCUUUCAGAGUCCCUAUCGCCAAGGGGGCUUACGACCUCGAUGUUGGAUCAGGACACCCAAAUAGUGCAACAGCUAUUAAUG